GGUGAGGCGGUCGCUCAGUCCGUGGGGUUGCUACUGCUGCCGCUGCCGCUGCCGCUGGCCGGGAGGUCGGGAGAACGGGUGGAGAGAGCCGACGCCUACACUCGCGGCGGGCGCGACGCCAGGGCAGGUCCCUCGGCCCGCCUACGGCCUCGCGGCCGCGCUGGAACAACUGGGCGGGCCUGGGUGAGCCCUGCGCGUCAGGCCUUUGUCCUCCGGGCGGGAACCCCAGACGCACGGGCGAGCCGGGCCGAACGUCCGCGGCGAAGCAAACGCGAGCUUGUUAAGUCGCCCGCGAAGAGCGGCGGGCACUGGCCCUCAGGGGUGCGAGGCCGGUGGUUGCGAACCAGGUGGGUAUUGCAGUUGCUUUCAAUAAUCACCCAAAUCCACUGUUCCUGGGCAAGCUCCUGGUGGAUUAAUCCUGCAGGAUGGCAGCCAUCAACCCGUGGGCUUCCUGGGGUAUCUUUACGGACCAGUCCUGGGGGAUGGCGGCUGUUGACCCGUGGGCCUCCUGGGGUGAGUCAAGAACUUUUGUCCCCGGACUUCCCUGGUGGUCCAGCAGUUAAGACUCCACACUUCCAUUGCUGGGGAUGCGGGUUCCAUCCCUGGUCGGGGAACUAUGAUCCGACAUGCCUCAUGGUGUGGCAAAAAAACAACUUGUGUCCCCAUCAGCCACAUUGGUUAACAUGUUUUGGUCUCUCCCAGCAGUAA
Molecule: long non-coding RNA, 708 nt
Filed under: Delphinapterus leucas (beluga whale)
Lineage: Eukaryota; Metazoa; Chordata; Mammalia; Artiodactyla; Monodontidae
Description: lncRNA (ENSDLEG00000000175.1)
Source: RNAcentral